This 81-nucleotide non-coding RNA is filed under the name uncultured Anaerobutyricum sp. RNAcentral's name for it is "S10-Clostridia ribosomal protein leader". It matches the Rfam family "S10-Clostridia ribosomal protein leader". Lineage: Bacteria; Bacillati; Bacillota; Clostridia; Lachnospirales; Lachnospiraceae. The record is from RNAcentral.
UGAUAGCGAUGAAGCGUGAGGUUGCUGCGCAGGGUGCAGGUUUUCCGUGGAGCGAAUGUCAAGUCAAGAUACUGGCGACAA